RNAcentral lists this ribosomal RNA (497 nucleotides) under uncultured bacterium. Its description in RNAcentral is "partial 16S ribosomal RNA". It matches the Rfam family "Bacterial small subunit ribosomal RNA", at positions 28 to 507 of the family's 1533-position model. The record is from RNAcentral.
GAUGAACGCUGGCGGGGUGCCUAAUACAUGCAAGUCGAGCGAACAGACGAGGAGCUUGCUCCUCUGACGUUAGCGGCUGACGGGUGAGUAACACGUGGAUAACCUACCUAUAAGACUGGGAUAACUUCGGGAAACCGGAGCUAAUACCGGAUAACAUGUUGAACCGCAUGGUUCAACAGUGAAAGACGGUUUUGCUGUCACUUAUAGAUGGAUCCGCGUCGCAUUAGCUAGUUGGUAAGGUAACGGCUUACCAAGGCAACGAUGCGUAGCCGACCGGAGAGGGUGAUCGGCCACACUGGAACUGAGACACGGUCCAGACUCCUACGGGAGGCAGCAGUAGGGAAUCUUCCGCAAUGGGCGAAAGCCUGACGGGACAACGGCGCGUGAGUGAAGAAGGUCUUCGGAUCGUAAAACUCUGUUAUUAGGGAAGAACAAAUGUGUAAGUAACUAUGCACGUCUUGACGGUACCUAAUCAGAAAGCCACGGCUAACUACGUG